AUCAAGUUAUAUUAUGUUUUUAAAAUAAAAAAGUGAAAAAAAUAGCAGCUACAGAAAAAAAAAAUUAAAAAAUCAUUUUAACGUCGUCAGCAAAACACUAAACCCUAAAUCCUAAUCCCUAAACCCUAAAUCCUAAACCCUAAAUCCUAAACUCUAAACCCUUGGGUUAAUCCUAAACUCUAAAUAAAAACACUAAACCCUAAAACUCUAAACCCU
This 216-nucleotide long non-coding RNA is filed under the name Brassica napus (rape). Its description in RNAcentral is "long non-coding RNA (BNAP_LNC015772)". The record is from RNAcentral. Lineage: Eukaryota; Viridiplantae; Streptophyta; Magnoliopsida; Brassicales; Brassicaceae.